CCCAUCCAUUCUCCCCUCAAUACGGUGCAGUCGUCCUGUCCCCUUUGCAGAAAAGCAUUCCCAAAGGAUUAUGUUUCCACCUCCAUGCUUCACGGUUGGGAUGGUGUUCUUGGGGUUGUACUCAUCCUUCUUCUUCCUCCAAACACAGCUCUCUUCAGGUCAUUGACCAGGUCCUGUCGUGUAGUUCUGGGCUGACCCCUCACCUUUCUCAUGAUCAUUGAUGCCCCACGAGAACAUUUGGAGAAGAUCAAGCGGCUGACUGAAGAGAAGGUUGAGCUGAGGGCACAGCUGGCUCUACAAUCAGAAUCCUUCCAACCAGGAUACCACUGACGAGGCUGUCCAGAACCAGGUCCCCAGGUAUCAGAAAGGGGCAGCUGACCGUGCAGGUGGGAGAAGACGUUGCAGCAGUACAAGGGACCUGCCGUGAAUAUCGAUUGCUGCUAGGUCACACAUAUUACUGCUAUUCUAGCCCUAGUUUAUUUUGUAUUGUAUUAUGUUUAUUUUUCACAUUCAAAUACUGUAAUUUUACUACAUCUGUUGCUGGACAUGUUUUUCUUGCACUAUUAGAUGUAUUUUUAUUUCAAUUAAUU
Esox lucius (northern pike) is the source of this 590-nucleotide long non-coding RNA. NCBI's taxonomy places the organism in Eukaryota, Metazoa, Chordata, Actinopteri, Esociformes, Esocidae. The record is from Ensembl.